RNAcentral lists this ribosomal RNA (639 nucleotides) under Hypoxylon sp. HS-EF26. RNAcentral describes it as "eukaryotic LSU rRNA". The stretch from base 267 to 420 matches the Rfam family "5.8S ribosomal RNA". Lineage: Eukaryota; Fungi; Ascomycota; Sordariomycetes; Xylariales; Hypoxylaceae. The record is from RNAcentral.
UACUCAACCCUUGUGACCUUACCGUCGUUGCCUCGGCGUGAGCUACGGCUACCCGGGAGCUACCCUGGAGCUACCCUAGAGUUACCCUAUAGCUACCCUGCAGCUACCCUAUACUUACCCUAUAGCUACCCUGCAGCUACCCUAUAGUUAGUUACCCUAGAGUUACCCUGGAGCUACCCUGUAGCCGGCUUAUGGCCCGCCGAAGGACAGCUAAACUCUUGUUUUUUUACUACUGUUUCUCUGAAUUACAAACUGAAAUAAGUUAAAACUUUCAACAACGGAUCUCUUGGUUCUGGCAUCGAUGAAGAACGCAGCGAAAUGCGAUAAGUAAUGUGAAUUGCAGAAUUCAGUGAAUCAUCGAAUCUUUGAACGCACAUUGCGCCCAUUAGUAUUCUAGUGGGCAUGCCUAUUCGAGCGUCAUUUCGACCCCUAAGCCCCUGUUGCUUAGCGUUGGGAAUCUACAGCGUAGUUCCUCAAAAUUAGUGGCGGAGUUAGGGUACACUCUCAGCGUAGUAAUUUCUCUCGCUCGUGUGGUGGCCUUGGCUGCUAGCCGUUAAAACCCCUAUAAUUUCUAGUGGUUGACCUCGGAUUAGGUAGGAAUACCCGCUGAACUUAAGCAUAUCAAUAAGCGGAGGAAGA